This 207-nucleotide ribosomal RNA is filed under the name uncultured bacterium. RNAcentral describes it as "partial 16S ribosomal RNA". It matches the Rfam family "Bacterial small subunit ribosomal RNA", at positions 568 to 774 of the family's 1533-position model. The record is from RNAcentral.
CGUGUAGGCGGCCAGGUAGGUCCGUUGUGAAAACUCGAGGCUCAACCUCGGGACGUCGAUGGAAACCAUCUGGCUAGAGUCCGGAAGAGGAGAGUGGAAUUCCUGGUGUAGCGGUGAAAUGCGCAGAUAUCAGGAAGAACACCUAUGGCGAAGGCAGCUCUCUGGGACGGUACUGACGCUGAGACGCGAAAGCGUGGGGAGCGAACA